Molecule: ribosomal RNA, 482 nt
Filed under: uncultured bacterium
Lineage: Bacteria
Description: partial 16S ribosomal RNA
Rfam family: Bacterial small subunit ribosomal RNA
Source: RNAcentral
AUUGAACGCUGGCGGCAUGCUUUACACAUGCAAGUCGAACGGUAACAGCACUUCGGUGGCUGACGAGUGGCGAACGGGUGAGUAAUACAUCGGAACGUGCCUAGUAGUGGGGGAUAACUACUCGAAAGAGUAGCUAAUACCGCAUGAGAUCUAAGGAUGAAAGCAGGGGACCUUCGGGCCUUGCGCUACUAGAGCGGCUGAUGGCAGAUUAGGUAGUUGGUGGGAUAAAAGCUUACCAAGCCGACGAUCUGUAGCUGGUCUGAGAGGACGACCAGCCACACUGGGACUGAGACACGGCCCAGACUCCUACGGGAGGCAGCAGUGGGGAAUUUUGGACGAUGGGCGCAAGCCUGAUCCAGCAAUGCCGCGUGCAGGAUGAAGGCCUUCGGGUUGUAAACUGCUUUUGUACGGAACGAAAAGCCCUCUUCUAAUACAGGAGGGUCAUGAUGGUACCGUAAGAAUAAGCACCGGCUAACUACGUG